Molecule: non-coding RNA, 105 nt
Filed under: Yersinia intermedia
Lineage: Bacteria; Pseudomonadati; Pseudomonadota; Gammaproteobacteria; Enterobacterales; Yersiniaceae
Description: Yersinia sRNA 224
Rfam family: Yersinia sRNA 224
Source: RNAcentral
GGCUGCCAAUAAAGUGCUCGUGGCGGAGAGAACAGGCAGAUCGUAAAGAUGCCGUCAAUACGCCCAUGUAGGUUCGUGCCGCGCCAUCCCUGGCGCGGACGCUUU